RNAcentral lists this unclassified non-coding RNA (329 nucleotides) under soil metagenome. RNAcentral's name for it is "partial contains 5.8S ribosomal RNA, internal transcribed spacer 2, and large subunit ribosomal RNA". The stretch from base 1 to 120 matches the Rfam family "5.8S ribosomal RNA", at positions 35 to 154 of the family's 154-position model. The record is from RNAcentral.
GAUGAAGAACGUAGCGAAAUGCGAUAAGUAAUGGGAAUUGCAGAAUUCAGUGAAUCAUCGAAUCUUUGAACGCACAUUGCGCCCCUUGGUAUUCCGAGGGGCAUGCCUGUUCGAGCGUCAUUAUAACCCCUCAAGCUCAGCUUGGUGUUGGGGCCUGCUGCACUGGCAGCCCUUAAAAUCAGUGGCGGCGCCAUCUGGCUCUAAGCGUAGUAAUUCUUCUCGCUAUGGAGUCCUGGUGGAUGCUUGCCAUCAACCCCCAAUUUUUCUAUGGUUGACCUCGGAUCAGGUAGGGAUACCCGCUGAACUUAAGCAUAUCAAUAAGCGGAGGA